This 253-nucleotide ribosomal RNA is filed under the name uncultured bacterium. RNAcentral describes it as "partial 16S ribosomal RNA". It matches the Rfam family "Bacterial small subunit ribosomal RNA", at positions 524 to 776 of the family's 1533-position model. The record is from RNAcentral.
UACGAAGGGGGCUAGCGUUGCUCGGAAUCACUGGGCGUAAAGCGCACGUAGGCGGAUUCUUAAGUCAGGGGUGAAAUCCCGGGGCUCAACCCCGGAACUGCCUUUGAUACUGGUAGUCUCGAGUCCGGAAGAGGUGAGUGGAAUUCCGAGUGUAGAGGUGAAAUUCGUAGAUAUUCGGAGGAACACCAGUGGCGAAGGCGGCUCACUGGUCCGGUACUGACGCUGAGGUGCGAAAGCGUGGGGAGCAAACAGG